This 426-nucleotide ribosomal RNA is filed under the name uncultured bacterium. RNAcentral describes it as "bacterial SSU rRNA". It matches the Rfam family "Bacterial small subunit ribosomal RNA", at positions 354 to 796 of the family's 1533-position model. The record is from RNAcentral.
GUGAGGAAUUUUCCGCAAUGGGCGAAAGCCUGACGGAGCAAUGCCGCGUGAAGGAUGAAGGCCUAUGGGUUGUAACCUUCUUUUCUCAGCAAAGAAUUAUGACGGUAUCUGAGGAAUAAGCAUCGGCUAACUCUGUGCCAGCAGUCGCGGUACGACAGAGGAUGCAAGCGUUAUCCGGAAUGACUGGGCGUAAAGCGUCUGUAGGUUGUUUAAAAAGUAUUCUGUCAAAGAUUAGGGCUUAACCCUAGAUAGGCAGAAUAAACUUUUAAGCUAGAGUUUGGUAGAGGCAGAGGGAAUUCCCGGUGGAGCGGUGAAAUGCGUAGAUAUCGGGAGGAACACCAAAGGCGAAGGCACUCUGCUGGGCCAAUACUAACACUGAGAGCCGAAAGCGAGGGGAGCAAAUGGGAUUAGAUACCCCGGUAGUCC